AGUUAAAUAGAGCUAACAGUUAAUAGAAGAAACCAACACCAACACUUAACAGUUAAAUAGUGCUAAAUAGAAGCCAACACUUAACAGUUAACUAGUGCUAAAUAGAAGCCAACACUUAACAGUUAAAUAGUGCUGAAUAGAAGCCAACACUUCACAGUUAAUUAGCGCUGAAUAGAAGCCAACACUUAACAGUUAAAUAGUGUUGAUAGGUAAAGGAAUACAUCCCUAAAAACUCUCUUCCUUCAGUGUACAUCGUAGAAAGUUUUGCUUGUGUCCAUAGAUCAGUAUUAAUCAUGUAUGUCAUAGUGCCUCUUUUAAUUACAUUGUAUAGGAAUGUUUCCAUCAUAUUCACAAGGCACACCCCACAAAAGGUCCGAGACAAAUCCAUUUGUCUUUUGCUGCUCUCAGAAAUGUGCCAGCUACAUGACGGCAGUUUGAGAGUGCUCGAAUCUGGACCAGACAAUCCAGUGACCAACAUCAUGGGCAUCGAUUUCAGAGACCAAACUGUUACAGAUCAAACCACAUGCUUAGCUUCCUUAUUUAUGAACACAUUAACAUUUCAAAAGAUGGUUUUUGUUGACAAAAGGUUAACAGAUGGUGCUGAAUUUAUUCAUUUUGCUAACAGCCUGUUUUGUAAUUAAGCAUUCCAUAUAGUCCUAUUAAGUUUAUACCAAAGUGAGGCACAUGUUUAUGUUGGCGAUGAGAAAUCGGCCACCGCCUGUUUACUCUGUCCAUGACUCAGUUUAGUCAUCGCACAGGCUGAACAUAUCCUAGUCACAGAACUGCUGUUUUAUUUUUACCUUUUCUCAAUUUACUGUACUUAAGCAUUAUAGAAAUCGAUUUAAACUGCUUCUUUCAAAAAGAGCUUGAUUGUAGUCUUUCUGUCAGAAAAACAACACAAGGCUUGUUGAAAUAAAAUUAUUUGUGUUUUUAGAUGCAUCUAAUCACACCAUGUUGAUUUCAUAUGCAAAAAGGGAAUUUCAUUCUGACAAACAGUAUUCACUGAUGUAAUCAGUUUUAAGCUGUGGCGCAUUAAAAUUGAAAAAAGGGAUUAUAAGAAAACCGAAGAAAAUGGGUUUAAAUUGUUUUUUCGGCAAUCGUGCAGUAGUCAACAAAUUGCUUCAAAAGUCAAUGAAACGAAUUAUGUUCUUUGGGGUUUUUUUUUUGUAAUAGUUUCAAAGCAGUUAUACUGAGAGAAACAAAUAAAGGAACAGGAAAAUUCAAGCAUUCCUGUAAUAUUUUCCAGUUUUCAUCACCAGCUUUGAGUAGCGAUAUGGGAGGAAGUCUGAGAAUAAUCAAAGGAACACUGUCGUGAAGUGGUGUUCCCUUAUUUGUUUUCCUCAGUAUAUAUAUAUACAGUACCCUCUCUUUGUGGAUUGUCGUUUAGGGGUCGAUAAGUCAUUCAGGGGACAUGUGCUAUGUUGAGUCUUCCAGCCCAUCGCUGGAACUUGAUGACUGCCUGUAACCUCAGUACCCAUGUGAUUGUGCAGGAUGAUAGCAUAAAGUAUUCAUUUGACAAACAAGAUCAUCCAGACAGGUAGAUUUGGUGGAAAGUGAAGAUUUACCCACAUGGAUCAACUGGAAUAAUAUUGAAUAAGGUUUUCUCUUUAGAGAUUCUAGUAAAUAUAGCCUGGGUGGUGAGGUAGCCUGGGUGGUGAUGUAGCCUGGGUGAUGAGGUAGCCCGGGUGAUGGGGUAGCCCGGGUGAUGAGGUAGCCUGGGUGAUGAGGUAGCCUGGGUGGUGAUGUAGCUUGGGUGAUGAGGUAGCCUGGGUGAUGAGGUAGCUUAGUUGUUCAGCAGGCCGGGCGUAGCCCUGUUAUGGCGGAAGUCAUAUAGCAAUAUCGCAGACAACAGUUCUACAGAAACUGUACAUUUAGAGAAAGGUCAAACCCUUUAGAAAUAUAUGACGACCUUCAUCUGAACAUAAGAUUUAGAUUCAGAAAGAUUUGACAUUUUCAAGAUAGUGGAUACACUCAGAGGUGAUAAUGAUUAUGGCUCGUACCGCAGUUACACCCUUACCCCGAAAUGCAGGUACUUGUAGCCUUACGGUUUAAUGCUACGGGAUCAUUUGUUUCGCGCCUUUUCCCGGUGGUUUAAACACGGUCGAAAUUCUAAAAAUAGCACACUGCACCUCGACAUAAAUCCGUUAAGUCGGGCAGAAUAACGCAUAGGCUUAACCGAGGUAUGCAUGACGUGUAAGAGCAGGGUGCUGCUAAGCCUGACGUAGUGUGUUACGCCUAACAUUAGCUACGCCCGACAUGUAUGCGGCCACUGAUUAUUUCAUUAUGUGCAUGUAAUAUAUUUGAACAUAAACUCUGUGGCCUAUUCGCAAUAUUACUGCAAGUUUUAUCUUACCUUCAUGUAAAAUAUGUGAAGCCCAUUUCUGGUGUCCCCUGCCGUGAUGUUGCUGGAAUAUUGCUAAAAGCGGCGUAAAACCAAACUCAGUCAGUCAGUCAUGUAAAAUACUUUAAUUUCAUUGGUCAAUGUCCCAGGAGGGUGACAACUGGAAAAAAUAUUACCUGCUGUCAUGGUAACCGCCAAACUCUUCACCAAGAAGCUGUUUCGCUAACAAUCGUAUAACGUUAUGAUAUGAUGCAUGCAGUGCACAGAUUUGAAAAACUGUUUGAUGGGCUGUUUUUUGAGUUCACUACGUACACAUCAAUUUUACAGACUUUCACUGCUUUAUUUAAACUAUUUGAUACAUUAAAUCGUUUGCACAUUCAACUUAAAAGUAUUAACCAUAUUUAUAUCAAUUUUAAGCUUGUCAGAAUUUGUUUCAGUGAUUUUAAAAUCCAGUUGAGCGGCAGACACCAUUUUGUUUACAUGUCAUAUAGUCGGUAGCGGGCUUAUCGAUCUUCAAAAUAAAAUAAAAUAUUUUUUACAUUUAACUUGGGGGUAAGAUAAAUACGUUUUAAACUUCUCCCUCGGGUAAUACGGUCUGAUGUACGCCUCUUUGUAACAGUGUCACCCGAGCCGGUAGACGUACAUCAGACCAUAUUACCCUCGAGAGAAGCAUAUUAUAACUUAUUGUGGAUGGUCUUUUUAUGUCCUGAUUGACAUCAUGUACCUAGUAUACUACGAUGGUGUGUAAUACCAUGUACCAGUUUUCCUAUUGCAUGUAUACCAUGUACCCGUUGAUGUAUAUUGUAUGUAUACCAUGUACCCGUUGAUGUAUGCUUUGAGCUAUACUGUAUUUGGCAUGUGCCUACUGUUUGUACAAGAUUUUUGUAAAUGCUUUGCUUCUAUUAAAAAGGAAGGAAAAUCU
RNAcentral lists this long non-coding RNA (3263 nucleotides) under Haliotis rubra (blacklip abalone). RNAcentral's name for it is "uncharacterized LOC124261332". The record is from RNAcentral. Lineage: Eukaryota; Metazoa; Mollusca; Gastropoda; Lepetellida; Haliotidae.